This 329-nucleotide unclassified non-coding RNA is filed under the name soil metagenome. RNAcentral describes it as "partial contains 5.8S ribosomal RNA, internal transcribed spacer 2, and large subunit ribosomal RNA". The stretch from base 1 to 120 matches the Rfam family "5.8S ribosomal RNA", at positions 35 to 154 of the family's 154-position model. The record is from RNAcentral.
GAUGAAGAACGUAGCGAAAUGCGAUAAGUAGUGUGAAUUGCAGAAUUCAGUGAAUCAUCGAAUCUUUGAACGCACAUUGCGCCCCUUGGUAUCCCGAGGGGCAUGCCUGUUCGAGCGUCAUUUCACCACUCAAGCCUGGCUUGGUGUUGGGCGACGUCCCCUUUGGGGACGCGCCUCGAAACGCUCGGCGGCGUGGCACCGGCUUUAAGCGUAGCAGAAUCUUUCGCUUUGGAAGUCGGGGCCCCGUCUGCCGGAAGACCUACUCGCAAGGUUGACCUCGGAUCAGGCAGGGAUACCCGCUGAACUUAAGCAUAUCAAUAAGCGGAGUA